GACGAACGCUGGCGGCGUGCUUAACACAUGCAAGUCGAACGGAAAGGCCCUGCUUUUGUGGGGUUCUCGAGUGGCGAACGGGUGAGUAACACGUGAGUAACCUGCCCUUGACUUUGGGAUAACUUCAGGAAACUGGGGCUAAUACCGGAUAGGAGCUCCUGCUGCAUGGUGGGGGUUGGAAAGUUUCGGCGGUUGGGGAUGGACUCGCGGCUUAUCAGCUUGUUGGUGGGGUAGUGGCUUACCAAGGCUUUGACGGGUAGCCGGCCUGAGAGGGUGACCGGCGACAAGGGGACUGAGAGACGGAGCAGACGCGUACGGGAGGCAGCAGGGGGGAGUAUUGCACAAUGGGCGGAAGCCUGAGGAAGAAACGCCGCGGGCGGGAUGACGGCCUUCGGGCUGUAAACCGCUUUAGCCUGUGACGAAGCGGGAGUGACGGUAAUGGGUAAAGAAGCACCGGCUAACUACGUG
This 468-nucleotide ribosomal RNA is filed under the name uncultured bacterium. Its description in RNAcentral is "partial 16S ribosomal RNA". It matches the Rfam family "Bacterial small subunit ribosomal RNA", at positions 28 to 507 of the family's 1533-position model. The record is from RNAcentral.